Molecule: transfer RNA, 72 nt
Filed under: Camelus bactrianus (Bactrian camel)
Lineage: Eukaryota; Metazoa; Chordata; Mammalia; Artiodactyla; Camelidae
Also listed under: 2 other names
Rfam family: tRNA
About the family: Transfer RNA (tRNA) molecules are approximately 80 nucleotides in length.
Source: Rfam by way of RNAcentral
GAGGGUAGAGCUCGGUGGUAGAGCGUGUGCUUAAUAUGCACGAGGUCCUGGGUUCCAUCCCCAGUCCCUUUC